GGUAAUGCAAUGUUGGAAGGUUAUACAAAAACAAGUAAAAUAAUUCAUGGAAUUUGUAUCUAAAGCACUUAAUGGUCUCUGUUUUCAGUUUGAUUGUUGAUUUUAUUUUUCUCUGGAUUUUAUUGGCCUUCUACAGCUAUUACUAAAUUACAGAAAAAGCUGGUUUAUCUGGUGGAAAGCUACAGUGUCUCUUGAGUUCCAGAUUUGGACAUUCUUUGUAAAUAGCUGUCUGGAUGGAUUAUAAUAAAGAAGAUGCUACCAGUGAAAUAGAAAACCAACUAAAUGACACAAGACUGUGAUCCUCAUGACCACUCUAGAAGGCACUUGUAUACAUAAAUCAUAAAGACCAUAUUAAUUGGAUGCAGUGCCAAUGCCCCGUUUUUUUGCCUGUGACUCAACAAAGAUCUUUUCAGUUUAUAAAAGCAGUUUGGGUUUGUAUUUACAACUUCUCUAAUGGUUACCUGCAUGUCCAUUGCUGGCAACGGACUUUGUCAUUAAAACCUGACUCCUAGGCUAAGGGAGCUACACUGUGGUUUAUUCUUUACUUACUUGGAUAAACUAACUUGUAAUAGAAAUAUACUUUGGUUAAUUCUGAACUGUGUCAUUUUUGAAUAAUCCUAAAAGCAAUACAGAAUUUAUUUAUUAUAUUUCAGACUCUCUGGCAGUCUAAAAGUUUCCUUUUCUUCCUGUUCCUUUUGCUGCUUUUAGGGACAGUUAAAUCUGGGAAACCAUGAAAAUAUUGAAUAUUUUAUUCUACCUAGAAUAGUAAAAAACAAGUAGACUGAUUGUGCUAGCAUCAGAAACUAAGGCUAACACAACUGUCUUUGUGUGUUGAGUGCCUGGCACGUAAUAUAAAUUCUCUUUCCCUCAAUAUAUAAAUAUUAAGCUGCUUAAGAUGUAUCUAGAUGUUACCACAGUCCUAAAUGACCCUGUGCCUUUAAUGAGCAAUUUAAAACUACCUAUGAGUAUUUCUUUGUAGGGCUCACAUAAAUGCAUAUUUGUUUAUAUAUACUGUAUUCUAGUUUGGAGUAAUUCUAGAUCCGAUCAGACAGUGGCUCUAAUUAGAACAAGAUGGGUGCUUAAAAUUUUUGCAUUAGUUUUUUAGUCUAAAAAUUUAAAAACAUACUGAGAUUCAUAUCAAGUGAAAUGUCUAAAAUCAUUAUAGAAUAUAGCUGAAGUCCUCAACUUCUUUGAGGUUUUUUAUACUGAAAUUCAUGGUAAUAUAAAAAGCAGAUUGUCUUCCUUGUCUCAACUGCUCCCACAAUAGAGGAACAGUUAAAAUCAGUUUUUCCCCACAGGUGUAUGAGUAUGUGUAAGAAAGGGAAAAAGAAAAUACACACACGGAUUUUAUUUCUCACUAACACAUUUAUUGACCACACUGACAAAGACGCCAUGGUAAAUAUUGUGAGGAUUACAAAGGAGAACUGAGCACCGGCCUGGCCUUGAGAGAACUGAAGUCUUUCUCACUCACAAUUCUAGAAUGUUGCCAAAUGGAGAGAAAAAAUGUAUGAUAAUUUUGUCAAGCAUACUUUCAUUCUGUGUUAAGCAGAGAAUUAACUUUGAACAUCUUUGGUAGGAAUGUCUUGUGGGGGUUUUUUUUUUUUUUUGUAGCUAGAAAUGGAAUUAAGUGAAAGUAACUUGUUUUCUGUUUUGUCUUCAAAUUUUAUAUUGACUUAUUUUUAAUUUAAUCCCAUUCAAUUAUUUAAUUGUUACAUUGACAUUAACUGCUGUAUUUGAUGACCUUGUUCAAUAAUUUUGUUCUUUCAGGGCUAGAAAUAAACUUUUUAAUGUUCAUUUUCCCUUUUCCUAAACUUUAAUUCUUUCUUAAGAUCAGAGUAGCUUAAAAGAAUAUAUGUAAUAGGUUUUCAAAGAACAUCCUAGUAUUUUUAAGGAUGACUAUUUUUUAAACGUGUCACAGCACUAUGAAUGUAUUACAGAGCUCCAAAUUAGAAAGAUUUUCAGAAAUCAUUGAGUAAUAAGCAUGAGCCUUCCCUCUUCUAAAUCAGGUUCAG
This 2012-nucleotide long non-coding RNA is filed under the name Bos taurus (domestic cattle). RNAcentral's name for it is "long non-coding RNA NONBTAT000712". The record is from RNAcentral. Lineage: Eukaryota; Metazoa; Chordata; Mammalia; Artiodactyla; Bovidae.